AGCAGUAUGGUGUAUUGUGCACGCGGGGGUAUCGUACGGAGGUCGGGAAAUUCAACCCCGAGGUCCUUGUUAGAACCAAGGUACUGCUC
Mycena latifolia is the source of this 89-nucleotide non-coding RNA. The record is from the annotation of a GenBank genome assembly. NCBI's taxonomy places the organism in Eukaryota, Fungi, Basidiomycota, Agaricomycetes, Agaricales, Mycenaceae.